RNAcentral lists this ribosomal RNA (484 nucleotides) under uncultured bacterium. RNAcentral's name for it is "partial 16S ribosomal RNA". It matches the Rfam family "Bacterial small subunit ribosomal RNA", at positions 28 to 523 of the family's 1533-position model. The record is from RNAcentral.
GACGAACGCUGGCGGCGUGCUUAACACAUGCAAGUCGAACGAUGAAGCCGGAGCUUGCUCUGGUGAAUUAGUGGCGAACGGGUGGGUAACACGUGAGUAACCUGCCCUUGACUCUGGGAUAACUGCGGGAAACUGUAGCUAAUACCGGAUACGACCCUCGGAGGCAUCUCCUGGGGGUGGAAAGAAUUUCGGUCAAGGAUGGACUCGCGGCCUAUCAGCUAGUUGGUGAGGUAAAGGCUCACCAAGGCGACGACGGGUAGCCGGCCUGAGAGGGUGACCGGCCACACUGGGACUGAGACACGGCCCAGACUCCUACGGGAGGCAGCGGUGGGGAAUAUUGCACAAUGGGCGCAAGCCUGAUGCAGCAACGCCGCGUGAGGGAUGACGGCCUUCGGGUUGUAAACCUCUUUUAGCAGGGAAGAAGCGAAAGUGACGGUACCUGCAGAAAAAGCACCGGCUAACUACGUGCCAGCCGCCGCGGUAA